GUACUCGCUUCGGCGGUACAUAUACUAAAAUUGGAACGAUACAGAGAAAAUUAGCAUGGUCCUGCGCAAGGAUGACACGGGAUGACACGCAAAACCUUGAAGCGUU
Molecule: small nuclear RNA, 106 nt
Organism: Schistocerca gregaria
Lineage: Eukaryota; Metazoa; Arthropoda; Insecta; Orthoptera; Acrididae
Source: RefSeq, a predicted model, not a curated record